Molecule: ribosomal RNA, 406 nt
Filed under: uncultured bacterium
Lineage: Bacteria
Description: partial 16S ribosomal RNA
Rfam family: Bacterial small subunit ribosomal RNA
Source: RNAcentral
AUUGAACGCUGGCGGCAGGCUUAACACAUGCAAGUCGAGCGAGCGGCGGACGGGUGAGUAAUGUCUGGGAAACUGCCUGAUGGAGGGGGAUAACUACUGGAAACGGUAGCUAAUACCGCAUACCAUCAGAUGUGCCCAGAUGGGAUUAGCUAGUAGGUGGGGUAAUGGCUAACCUAGGCGACGAUCCCGAGCUGGUCUGAGAGGAUGACCAGCCACACUGGAACUAAGCAACGGUCCAGACCCCUACGGGAGGCAGAAGUGGGGAAUAUUGCACAAUGGGGGCAAGCCUGAUGCAGCCAUGCCGCGUGUGUGAAGAAGGCCUUCGGGUUGUAAAGCACUUUCAGCGGGGAGGCGUUACUCGCAGAAGAAGCACCGGCUAACUCCGUGCCAGCCGCCGCGGUAAUAC